This is a long non-coding RNA of Centrocercus urophasianus (Greater sage-grouse), 1538 nucleotides long. RefSeq lists it as uncharacterized. The transcript is spliced from 5 exons. The record is from RefSeq and is a predicted model, not a curated record. Lineage: Eukaryota; Metazoa; Chordata; Aves; Galliformes; Phasianidae.
UCUGCCCUCCCACCCCCAUGACUGUAUGCCUUUAUCCUGUCUUGAUUAAUACCUGAGCAGGUAAGAAAUGGCUCUAAUGAACAGUUAACUAUUUAACUGUAUAAAAUGGUGUAAACAGAAGGUGUAGAUUAAGAAAUGCAGGCAGAUGCAUACAAGUGGCUAAGGCUGAAUGUGCAUCCUCAACUUGGAUUCUUCUUGGAUUUAUUUAGUACUUACCCAUGCAAUCGUAGCCUUCCAAACACAUGUUGCUGUACAUAUAACACACAAAAGGAUGGUGAAAUGAAGUUUUGCUAGCAAUAUCUAUUUAGGGUCUUAGGGGAAAUGUGGGGUAUUUGGCCUAAAAUUCCACUCUGGCAGCUUUUUGGAGUGUUAUAUGCUUGGUUUUUGCUUUGUUCCUUUUGCACUGUGGGCUUCAAGACUCCUACCAAUUAAUUCUGGAAAAAGGCUUAAUGUAGGCUACUCCUCAAGAAGGGGUCUAUUUUAACAUUCAGUAAACAGAUAAUCCAUUAGGACAACAAUGUACAUUGUGGCAAGUGCUAUCCUAGGAUUUUUUUUGUCAGCGCUUAUUUAUAGUCUUUUGAUUUCGCUUCCCUCCUGCGGUGCGGUUUCAAUCAUUCUCCCUCCAAUCUUUGUUCCCGUAUUCAUUGCAAGCUGAAAACAAAGUAAGAAAGAAGCUCAUACGUAGCGUUCUAUUCUUGGCCAGUUCUUCCUCUAUAGCAAGAAGGCGGUUGUAUUUGGUCACCCUUUCUCCGCGGGAAAGACCUCCCAGCUUGACAAACCUGGCACCCAGUCCAACAGCCUUGAAACGAGAAAGAACAGGCUUUCUCCUAAAAAAUAAUUCAUGUUAAAAGCAGUGUUUUGGCAAUUCUGCAACUGAAUAGCUUUCAGUACUUACCAGAUCCACAAGGCUAUCAUCAGAAGAUUCUCCAUCUGGACUUCCUAAUAUGGGAUCUACUAAGGCAAUAAUGGAAGGAAAUUUAUUAACCAGUUCCACGUACGUGUCGACCAUUUCAUCAGGGCUUCUGAAUGUUCCAAUUGUGCCACUGCUGAUGGAGCACAAGAAGUUACGGAAAGAGUGUCAUCAUCAUCUUCUUCUUCCUCUUCAAUUUCUUUUUUUUCUUCUUCCUUUUUUGAAAAGUAUUCACUGAGAAAAGGAACAAAGAUUGGUGGCUCAAAACACUGUCAUGCAUGUCAAAGGAGGCACGCUAUAUUCGCUGAAGAACAUGCUGGAGAUGGAUUAAGAGCGUCUGUUUGAGAUUCUGCCCUGAUUGUGUGAAGCUGGACAAGUCAGUAAAUGCCUGUUUUUGACAGUUAUCUGCAACACUGAAUAAACAAAAAGAACCACAAGCAAGAGUUACAGUCCUCAGCACGUGAUUUUCAGGCUGCACUGGUUUCAAAGGAUCAAGAAUGAAAAGAGCCAAAGUUUAACAGCAGGUGUUUGAACUAUCACCCACAUCAGCAUAUUGGCUCAAAGAAAAGAAGUUCCUUCACCAACUCUUUGUGGAUACUGUACAACUGUGUUUUUUUUUUAAUGUCAC